AUUGAACGCUGGCGGCAUGCUUUACACAUGCAAGUCGAACGGUAACAGGCCGCAAGGUGCUGACGAGUGGCGAACGGGGGUGUAAUGCUCCGGAACGUGCCCACUCGUGGGGGAUAACUACUCGAUAGAGGAGCUAAUACCGCAUACGAUCUAUGUAUGAAAUCUGCGGACCGUAAUGCCCAGCUCAAUUUGAGCGGCCGAUGUCAGAUUAGGCAGUUGGUGGGGUGAAGGCUCACCAAGCCAACGAUCUGUAGCUGGUCUGAGAGGAGGACCAGCCACACUGGAACUGGGACACGGCCCAGACUCCUACGGGAGGCAGCAGUGGGGAAUUUUGGACAAUGGGCGCAAGCCUGAUCCAGCAAUGCCGCGUGCAGGAAGAAGGCCUUCGGGUUGUAAACUGCUUUUGUACGGAACGAAACGACGCUGAUUAAUACCCGGGGCUAAUGACGGUACCGUAAGAAAAAGCACCGGCUAACUACGUG
RNAcentral lists this ribosomal RNA (482 nucleotides) under uncultured bacterium. Its description in RNAcentral is "partial 16S ribosomal RNA". It matches the Rfam family "Bacterial small subunit ribosomal RNA", at positions 30 to 507 of the family's 1533-position model. The record is from RNAcentral.